Long non-coding RNA from Fukomys damarensis (Damara mole-rat), 1870 nucleotides. RefSeq lists it as uncharacterized. The transcript is spliced from 3 exons. Lineage: Eukaryota; Metazoa; Chordata; Mammalia; Rodentia; Bathyergidae. The record is from RefSeq and is a predicted model, not a curated record.
GUCAAAGCAAGGUGUACUUGCUUUGGCAUUCCUUAAUGGCUGGCUGAGGGGUUAGCCUUCCUAACCCCUAGAAGGUGCCAACCCCACCACUCUAUUCCAUCCUGUAGCUUUGUACGUGGAUGUGAACUAGGCUGCAGCAGUCCGUGCAGUCCACCCUCUGGCCCACAUGUUGGUGUGAGGAUGAAGAAACAGCCUAGUUCAGUCCAACAAGCAGCAGCCUCUGGAUUUUUUUCACAGCCCAUGAGGUAGUCCUAGAGCUGUUCAAGGGCUGCUCCUUGGAAGAAUCUGCCUGAGAGUGAAUUCAAGCCAAAGAAAGCCGAGCAAAAGACUGACAGCUCCUCCAUAGCAGAACAUCUGGAUCCAGCCAUACCUGAAGCUGCUCCUCAAACUUUUCAAUUACACAACCCAACUCUGAUCUUGCUGCUCUGCGGUCCUGUCAGCACUUAUCCACCUCAAGCCAUGCAGAAGACUUGCUGCCAAUUCCUGGGGCCCUGUGUCUACCCUGUAUCAGACCCUGGGUACUCCAGACCCUGCAGGACGAUGGGGAUGGAAAGCACCAUGACCUGCUGGCCAACCACCACCUCCCAGGAGCGCUCAGGCCUGCCAGCACCAACAAGCUGCAAACACAUGCUUCUGGGGUGCACGGGGUUGUUUUUUCCAGGGGCCUUGUCCAAGCCAGAGAGGAGUGAAAUGUGAACUCCCCAACUUGAACCAUGCUCAGAGCAGCAGCGACAGUCAGGGUCCUCGGUCUGUGUGUGCUGGGAGCCAGGAUGGGCAAUAUUCCCUUCAAUGGAAACCAUCUUGGGAAGGAGGGCAGGGACAAAAGGCAUCAUGGGCUUCCUGUGUGUGGAAUACGUGAAAACAGCCUUCUUGGGGCUUGGAUCCCACUACACCACCUUCUUCAGUGACUCUGAUGUCCUAAGAAGUAAUUUCACAUCUCCAAGCCUCAGUCUGUCAUCCAUUAAAUGGACUUCCUGCCAUGGUCACUAUGGAGGAGGAAGACUGUCCAGGAGUGAAUUACUAUGGAAUUGGUGUGUGCUAAAUGCUCCAAGAGGUUUUGUUUUUUUAGCAGUAGAAGCCAUCUGGCAAGUAAGGUCCCACUGUUAUGCCCAUUCUGCAGAAAGGCUCAGCAGGCAAUUUACCGGAGGUGAUGACAGCUGAUCAGGUCCCUGGGACUGUAAGACCAAGGUCCUGGUUAAAUGGAAAGCAUGUGUGAUGGUUGGGCUAGGAACUGCAGUGCCUACUGGUGUUCUGGGGUGUAAGUGGUACAUGGGUUUGGCUCUGAUCCCCUCCAAUGGGGACCAGGCUAUGUGAGGAAUUACUGGGGGCCAGAUUCUGUGACUACGCCCCACAGUCCCAAGGCCAGUGUGAUCCGCCUUGGGAAACAGAAAAUAUGGAAAACUGUGUGCUUUCUGGCUGCAAGGAGAAUGUUGGUAAUCACAGUUCUCCCAUGGCAAUAUAACAUCUGCUGAGGACAAUGUAAAGAAUGCUAGUUCCUUAUUAAUGUGGGCAGGCAUCCAGGUAUAGGAAAGAACCUAGUCCCUCUCAACACACUCUCAAAAAAGAGUAAAGCUCAACCUGUUCCCUAUUUUUCAAAAUAUCUUUUCAACUGUUAUCGUUCCAUGAAUUACACAAAACCCCUGCCCUCUAGGCUUCUUGAUGGCUAAUAAAAGCGUGUCAACCUUAGAGAUUAUCGAGUCUGCCCACUAGAGGCAGGCUCCUCCCAGUUGCUUUACAGUUUAAAUAUUGUCUCUGUCUCUCUUUAUUCCCUGUUGUUCCCCUCUCACAGGUAUCUGAGGGUCAGAAUAGACCCCCAGAACCCCUCCACUGGGGCCCUGAGGCUGCAUGGAACAAAGGCACUGUGGGAGGA